RNAcentral lists this non-coding RNA (233 nucleotides) under Klosneuvirus KNV1. The record is from RNAcentral. Lineage: Varidnaviria; Bamfordvirae; Nucleocytoviricota; Megaviricetes; Imitervirales; Mimiviridae.
UUUAUAAUUUCUUAUAAAGGAUAGACUAUAUCUUAAAUUCUUUAAUAGAAUCCAUUAUCAUUUAGUCGUUGAACAGCACCUUUUAAAGGAUUGGCUGCUGAUAUUCUUUGAUCUGAUUUUAUCACAAUUUACAGUAAUCAGAUCUUCUAGAUGUUUCAGCAAUUUGAUAAUGUUGCUUUCAUUAAGAAAACUAAGAUUAAAUAUCUUAUUCAACCCCUAAUUAAGGUUGCUUG